GAGGAAUAUUGGUCAAUGGGCGCGAGCCUGAACCAGCCAAGUAGCGUGAAGGAUGACUGCCCUAUGGGUUGUAAACUUCUUUUAUAAGGGAAUAAAGUGAGGCACGUGUGCCUUAUUGUAUGUACCUUAGGAAUAAGCAUCGGCUAACUACGUGCCAGCAGCCGCGGUAAUACGUAGGGUGCGAGCGUUGUCCGGAAUUACUGGGCGUAAAGAGCUCGUAGGUGGUUUGUCGCGUCGUCUGUGAAAUUCCGGGGCUUAACUCCGGGCGUGCAGGCGAUACGGGCAUAACUUGAGUGCUGUAGGGGAGACUGGAAUUCCUGGUGUAGCGGUGAAAUGCGCAGAUAUCAGGAGGAACACCGAUGGCGAAGGCAGGUCUCUGGGCAGUAACUGACGCUGAGGAGCGAAAGCAUGGGUAGCGAACA
This 422-nucleotide ribosomal RNA is filed under the name uncultured bacterium. RNAcentral describes it as "bacterial SSU rRNA". It matches the Rfam family "Bacterial small subunit ribosomal RNA", at positions 356 to 774 of the family's 1533-position model. The record is from RNAcentral.